CCUACGGGUGGCAGCAGUGGGGAAUAUUGCACAAUGGGGGAAACCCUGAUGCAGCGACGCCGCGUGAAUGAAGAAGGAUUUCGGUAUGUAAAGCUCUAUCAGCAGGGAAGAAAAUGACGGUACCUGAUUAAUAAGCCCCGGCUAACUACGUGCCAGCAGCCGCGGUAAUACGUAGGGAGCAAGCGUUAUCCGGAUUUACUGGGUGUAAAGGGAGCGUAGACGGCAUAACAAGUCUGAGGUGAAAGCCCAUGGCUUAACCAUGGAAUUGCUUUGGAAACUGUGCAGCUGGAGUGCAGGAGAGGUAAGCGGAAUUCCUAGUGUAGCGGUGAAAUGCGUAGAUAUUAGGAGGAACACCAGUGGCGAAGGCGGCUUACUGGACUGUAACUGACGUUGAGGCUCGAAAGCGUGGGGAGCAAACAGGAUUAGAUACCCUAGUAGUC
RNAcentral lists this ribosomal RNA (440 nucleotides) under uncultured bacterium. RNAcentral's name for it is "partial 16S ribosomal RNA". It matches the Rfam family "Bacterial small subunit ribosomal RNA", at positions 338 to 795 of the family's 1533-position model. The record is from RNAcentral.